UGGGAAACUGAGCAGGAACCUA
Molecule: non-coding RNA, 22 nt
Filed under: Rattus norvegicus (Norway rat)
Lineage: Eukaryota; Metazoa; Chordata; Mammalia; Rodentia; Muridae
Source: RNAcentral